RNAcentral lists this ribosomal RNA (665 nucleotides) under uncultured Bacilli bacterium. RNAcentral's name for it is "bacterial SSU rRNA". It matches the Rfam family "Bacterial small subunit ribosomal RNA", at positions 81 to 734 of the family's 1533-position model. The record is from RNAcentral. Lineage: Bacteria; Bacillati; Bacillota; Bacilli.
ACUAGAAAAACUUAGCGGCGAACGGGUGAGUAACACGUAAAGAACCUGCCUCAUAGACUGGGACAACUAUUGGAAACGAUAGCUAAUACCGGAUAACAGUAUUUCUCGCAUGAGAGAUAUUUAAAAGUUGGUUAUGCUAACACUAUGAGAUGGCUUUGCGGUGCAUUAGCUAGUUGGUGGGGUAAAGGCCCACCAAGGCGACGAUGCAUAGCCGACCUGAGAGGGUGAUCGGCCACACUGGGACUGAGACACGGCCCAGACUCCUACGGGAGGCAGCAGUAGGGAAUCUUCCGCAAUGGGCGAAAGCCUGACGGAGCAACGCCGCGUGAGUGAAGAAGGAUUUCGGUUCGUAAAGCUCUGUUGUUAGGGAAGAAUGGAUAUGUAGUAACUAUACAUAUAAGAGACGGUACCUAACCAGAAAGCCACGGCUAACUACGUGCCAGCAGCCGCGGUAAUACGUAGGUGGCAAGCGUUGUCCGGAAUUAUUGGGCGUAAAGCGCGCGCAGGUGGUUUAAUAAGUCUGAUGUGAAAGCCCACGGCUCAACCGUGGAGGGUCAUUGGAAACUGUUAAACUUGAGUGCAGGAGAGAAAAGUGGAAUUCCUAGUGUAGCGGUGAAAUGCGUAGAGAUUAGGAGGACACCAGUGGCGAAGGCGGCUUUUUGGCC